GACGAACGCUGGCGGCGUGCUUAACACAUGCAAGUCGAGCGGUAAGGCCCUUUCGGGGGUACGACGAGCGGCGAACGGGUGAGUAACACGUGGGUGACCUGCCCUCAGCUCUGGGAUAAGCCCGGGAAACUGGGUCUAAUACCGGAUAUGACUCCAUGACGCAUGUUGUGGGGUGGAAAGCCUUGUGCGGCUGAGGAUGGGCCCGCGGCCUAUCAGCUUGUUGGUGGGGUGAUGGCCACCAAGGCGACGACGGGUAGCCGGCCUGAGAGGGCGACCGGCCACACUGGGACUGAGAUACGGCCCAGACUCCUACGGGAGGCAGCAGGUGGGGAAUCUUGCGCAAUGGGCGAAAGCCUGACGCAGCGACGCCGCGUGAGGGAUGACGGCCU
RNAcentral lists this ribosomal RNA (389 nucleotides) under uncultured bacterium. RNAcentral describes it as "bacterial SSU rRNA". It matches the Rfam family "Bacterial small subunit ribosomal RNA", at positions 28 to 417 of the family's 1533-position model. The record is from RNAcentral.